Molecule: ribosomal RNA, 528 nt
Filed under: uncultured Glomus
Lineage: Eukaryota; Fungi; Glomeromycota; Glomeromycetes; Glomerales; Glomeraceae
Description: SSU rRNA
Rfam family: Eukaryotic small subunit ribosomal RNA
Source: RNAcentral
UUGGAGGGCAAGUCUGGUGCCAGCAGCCGCGGUAAUUCCAGCUCCAAUAGCGUAUAUUAAAGUUGUUGCAGUUAAAAAGCUCGUAGUUGAAUUUCGAGACCGGUUUAUUGGUCGUGCUUUUGUACGUACUGGUAUUAUUGGUUUCUCCUUUCUGACGAAUCAUAAUGCCAUUAAUUUGGUGUUUUGGGGAAUCAGGACUGUUACUUUGAAAAAAUUAGAGUGUUUAAAGCAGGCUCACGCUUGAAUACAUUAGCAUGGAAUAACGAAAUAGGACGUUUGAUUUUAUUUUGUUGGUUUCUAGGAUCGACGUAAUGAUUAAUAGGGAUAGUUGGGGGCAUUAGUAUUCAAUUGUCAGAGGUGAAAUUCUUGGAUUUAUUGAAGACUAACUACUGCGAAAGCAUUUGCCAAGGAUGUUUUCAUUAAUCAAGAACGAAAGUUAGGGGAUCGAAGACGAUCAGAUACCGUCGUAGUCUUAACCAUAAACUAUGCCGACUAGGGAUCGGAUGAUGUUAAUUUUUUAAUGACUCA